CAAACACGACUCUUAGUUUUUUCUUCUGGCUUUAACAUUUUCUUUCUAAAUAAUAUGUGUGGCAAAUUAUAUUUUUCAAUGUGGCCACAAUUAGAUCUCCAUCUCAUGUGCUCUUCUGGCACUGUAACUUUGACACUUCUCCCACUGAGAGGUGGUGUUUAUGUUUCUUCUCCUUGAAGAAGGUGGGCCUGUGACUAUGGUGAAAUGACACUUUGUGACUUCGGUGACUAGGUCAUAAAAAAAUAAUUCAGCCUCCACAUGAGGGACAAAUGCCUAUGGAAUCUUGAGCUACCACAUUAAAAAGUUUGAGGCCACUAAUCUGUAAAGUAGUUCAUGGAGCAUAGAGAGGCCAUGUGUAGGUGUUUUUCAGCCAGCAGCCCCAGUUGAGGUCCCAGCCAACUGGCAGAAUCAGCUCCAUACAUAACACAUCCUUCGUGUUAAAAAGAUGUUCUGUAGCAGAGGACAGGAUGAUGACAACCCUGAAUAAGCUUUCUCUGCAGUCCAGGUGGGAGUAGGCGGAGUCGGUUAUGUUCGGAGCCGAGGAGAAAGUGCAGGCCGAGGGAGAAGGUUAUCGGAGAAGAAGAUACAGCAAGAAGGCAGAGAUACAUGAACCAGGACCUUAGAGAGAACUGUCACCAAGAACCCAACCAUACUGGCCCCCUGAUCUUGAACUUCCAGCCUCCAGA
Non-coding RNA from Microcebus murinus (gray mouse lemur), 686 nucleotides. NCBI's taxonomy places the organism in Eukaryota, Metazoa, Chordata, Mammalia, Primates, Cheirogaleidae. The record is from RefSeq and is a predicted model, not a curated record.